GUGUUUUUCUAAUAUACAGUAAUAUAAUUUUAAAAUACAGUAAUAUAAUUUAUGUUUUUUAUUAUUUUUUUUAUUGCUUUUUUUUUAGUUACAUAGGUUGUUGUACGUAAAGCAGAACUGAUUUGAUAACUGUUAUUUUUAUUGACUGUUGACAAUUUCAAGAUAUUUUUUUUUUUUUUGAUUAUUUAACUUUUUUGUUAUCUUUAGGCCAAUUUGCACAGACUACAGCUGUAUCUACCUCUUGUACUACACCUGUAUCUACCUCUUGUGCUACACCUGGGUGUUAUAACAUCAUAACCACAUCUACGGCCAACUCUAAGAUCACCUUAUUUUGUUUGGCAGUGUUCUGGAAUCAAGUUAUGGCAAUAUUUUAUGUAUAAAAUCUAACAAUUACAUUAAAAAAGUGCUUAUUUUUGACAAAAACUUGUAUUUUCUUAAGGGUUAGAUGGUGUUUCAUUACCCCCUCUGGCUCCCAAGAUACACCCUAC
Non-coding RNA from Hydra vulgaris (swiftwater hydra), 488 nucleotides. The record is from RefSeq and is a predicted model, not a curated record. Lineage: Eukaryota; Metazoa; Cnidaria; Hydrozoa; Anthoathecata; Hydridae.